ACGAGUCGCCUAUAGUCUUGUAGUGUUACAAGCGACACCUAUACAAAGCAGCCUAAAACAAAAACCCUAGAACUUUUUUGUUCCUUCAUCCCUUAGUCUUUCUGUUCCUUCCUCCCAUAGUCCCAUCGCCUCCCUCUUCCUCUCAUUGACUCACCUUACUCCUCCAUUCUCUUUCCUCUUGAUCUCUUCCCCUCGCAAACUCACCGACAACGACUACCACCACUUGUCUCAUUUAGUGUCAGUGGUGUCCCACCACCUACUCCUCCGCCUGUACACUUCCCUCUCUCACCAAAUUGAUCGGCGACGUAAAGACUGAGCUCCCGUUCUCCGAGUUCUUUACUACUUUACUUCUAUUUGUUAAGGUGGAGAUAUCACUUGUGGAUGUGAGUGAUAAGGUGGUGGCUAAAUUUCGUUGUGGGUCUGCCACAUUAGAAAUUAUUCUUGCUUUUUGGGUGCACGGUCCAUUUGGCUUUGGAUUUAGUUGAUGAGAUAUGUGAAGCAGGUUUAUCUGUAUCCAUGGGAGCACUCAAUGCCAUGUGUCAUGCUUGUGAGGAGGGCUGUGAUUUAUAUUGUUUUGCAAGGUACAAAAGGAUGGUCCGUUGAAAAUCAAGGAACUUAAUGAAGUUUGUGACAUGUUGGCGUCUUUUAUCACCUUUAACAUGUAAAUGUCACUUUUAUUGUAAAUUUAUGUUUUGUUAACUUUUUAACUAUAUUAUUAUUCA
Molecule: long non-coding RNA, 722 nt
Organism: Chenopodium quinoa (quinoa)
Lineage: Eukaryota; Viridiplantae; Streptophyta; Magnoliopsida; Caryophyllales; Amaranthaceae
Exons: 4
Source: RefSeq, a predicted model, not a curated record